RNAcentral lists this ribosomal RNA (694 nucleotides) under Pseudescherichia vulneris (CDC Enteric Group 1). Its description in RNAcentral is "bacterial SSU rRNA". It matches the Rfam family "Bacterial small subunit ribosomal RNA", at positions 32 to 715 of the family's 1533-position model. The record is from RNAcentral. Lineage: Bacteria; Pseudomonadati; Pseudomonadota; Gammaproteobacteria; Enterobacterales; Enterobacteriaceae.
AACGCUGGCGGCAGGCUUAACACAUGCAAGUCGAGCGGUAGCACAGGGGAGCUUGCUCCCCGGGUGACGAGCGGCGGACGGGUGAGUAAUGUCUGGGAAACUGCCUGAUGGAGGGGGAUAACUACUGGAAACGGUAGCUAAUACCGCAUAACGUCGCAAGACCAAAGAGGGGGACCUUCGGGCCUCUUGCCAUCAGAUGUGCCCAGAUGGGAUUAGCUAGUAGGUGGGGUAAUGGCUCACCUAGGCGACGAUCCCUAGCUGGUCUGAGAGGAUGACCAGCCACACUGGAACUGAGACACGGUCCAGACUCCUACGGGAGGCAGCAGUGGGGAAUAUUGCACAAUGGGCGCAAGCCUGAUGCAGCCAUGCCGCGUGUGUGAAGAAGGCCUUCGGGUUGUAAAGCACUUUCAGCGAGGAGGAAGGUGGUGAACUUAAUACGUUCAUCAAUUGACGUUACUCGCAGAAGAAGCACCGGCUAACUCCGUGCCAGCAGCCGCGGUAAUACGGAGGGUGCAAGCGUUAAUCGGAAUUACUGGGCGUAAAGCGCACGCAGGCGGUUUGUUAAGUCAGAUGUGAAAUCCCCGGGCUCAACCUGGGAACUGCAUUUGAAACUGGCAAGCUAGAGUCUCGUAGAGGGGGGUAGAAUUCCAGGUGUAGCGGUGAAAUGCGUAGAGAUCUGGAGGAAUACCGGUGG